CUAGGCACAUGGCUGGUAUGGGUUUUAUUAAGCUUGUGUUUGGGCAACAUCGCAACAAACCACGUUUUCUCUCCCCUACCGAUCGUACGCAAGUUAGUAUUUCUUUUUCUUCCCCACUUCUGCCUUGAAUACUAGUCUCCGUCGCCACUGCGUGUCCGCCUUCUGGAGCAACUUACUACAUUAUAGCAGCAAGGUGUAGGUGGUGUUGGUUCCCCCCUAGAUUUCGCUUCCAGCCCUUCGCUUCACCUUCUGGUUCCUGUGGGGUAGCUGACGCUGAAUACGAGGUUGAGUUGUGUGGAAAUCCUUUGAACCGCAAUGCCCUGGUUGUUGUCAAGCCACAAUAUUUAAAAAGAAAGAAAGAAAGAAGGAAGGAAAGAAAAAAGAGGGAGAGAGGUGAUUCCCGAUAUCUGGUUAUCAUCGACAUUUAGGUUCUACUGCCUCAGACCAGCAAUGACAUCAUAGAUACAACGGCCGUUGAUUAAAUGUAUGUCGCGCAAAGAUAUCUUCGCUUCAAGGGUCCAAUCCAGGGAAAGGCGGGGUAUCGUUGGAGUCAUUAUUGUGGCGGCAGAUGCCCAAGUUCUAAUGAUCAUGGUUGUCCAUGGGUGUUCAUCGGGUGGCUGUGCAUGGUGAUGAAUAUAUAAGGGCUGAUAGAGCGGGAUAUCCUCAUGAACAAGUAGGUGUACGAUGAGAAGUUUCGCAAUAAGUAGAUGUCUACCUUCGCGGACAAGUCUCCCUCAAGAAUUGGAAAAAAUAUACAAUAGCUAGUAAUGAAUGGUUUUAUACAAAAUAUCGCUACGGUAAACCAGGAAAUAUGGCCAAAAAAAAAGAGUUAGAAUUCGUAAGAUAGAGUAUCAACAACCAUUACUCCAGCUGUUUCAUUAAACUCCUUAUGGUUAAAAAAAGGAAAAGC
This 910-nucleotide small RNA is filed under the name Histoplasma capsulatum. RNAcentral's name for it is "hypothetical RNA". The record is from RNAcentral. RNAcentral also lists the same sequence under 1 other name. Lineage: Eukaryota; Fungi; Ascomycota; Eurotiomycetes; Onygenales; Ajellomycetaceae.